GAAGAGUAUCGUCUCCGGUGAGGCGCCCAGUCUUCAAAACUGGAGGAGGAACGCAGAUGCGUUCCUUUGGGUUCGACUCCUAACUCU
RNAcentral lists this transfer RNA (87 nucleotides) under marine eukaryotic metagenome. Its description in RNAcentral is "Selenocysteine transfer RNA". It matches the Rfam family "Selenocysteine transfer RNA". The record is from RNAcentral.